GACGAACGCUGGCGGCGUGCUUAACACAUGCAAGUCGAGCGGAGCGGCGAACGGGUGAGUAACGCGUGAGUAACUGCCCCCCUCUCCGGGAUAACAGUUGGAAACGGCUGCUAAUACCGGAUAGUGGGGGUUGACUCGCGUCCGAUCAGCUGUUUGGUGGGGUAGUGGCCUACCAAGGCGACGACGGGUGGCCGGCCUGAGAGGGCGACCGGCAACAUUAGGCUGGGAUACGGGCCAAACGCAAACGGGAGGCAGCAGGGGGGACUUUUGCACAAGGGGGCAAACGCUGAUUCAGCAACGCCGCGUGGGGGAUGACGGCCUUUGGGUUGUAAACCGCUUUCAGCCAUAACGCGGUAGUGGCAGAAGAAGCACCGGCUAACUACGUGCCAGCAGCCGCGGUAAUUC
RNAcentral lists this ribosomal RNA (405 nucleotides) under uncultured bacterium. RNAcentral describes it as "partial 16S ribosomal RNA". It matches the Rfam family "Bacterial small subunit ribosomal RNA", at positions 28 to 526 of the family's 1533-position model. The record is from RNAcentral.